RNAcentral lists this ribosomal RNA (253 nucleotides) under uncultured bacterium. Its description in RNAcentral is "partial 16S ribosomal RNA". It matches the Rfam family "Bacterial small subunit ribosomal RNA", at positions 524 to 776 of the family's 1533-position model. The record is from RNAcentral.
GACGAACCGUACGAACGUUAUUCGGAAUCACUGGGCUUAAAGGGCGUGUAGGCGGGUUGAUAAGUCGGGCGUGAAAUCCCUAGGCUCAACCUAGGAACUGCACUCGAAACUGUUUAUCUUGAGUGCCGGAGAGGAAAGCGGAAUUCCUGGUGUAGAGGUGAAAUUCGUAGAUAUCAGGAGGAACACCAGUGGCGAAGGCGGCUUUCUGGACGGUAACUGACGCUGAGACGCGAAAGCGUGGGGAGCAAACAGG